RNAcentral lists this ribosomal RNA (329 nucleotides) under uncultured eukaryote. RNAcentral describes it as "partial 18S ribosomal RNA". It matches the Rfam family "Eukaryotic small subunit ribosomal RNA", at positions 1470 to 1796 of the family's 1831-position model. The record is from RNAcentral.
CCCUUAGAUGUCCUGGGCCGCACGCGCGCUACACUGAGUGUCUGAGAUACGAGUCUGCCUGGUCCGGCAAGGUCUAGGUAAUCGCUAAAAGACACAUCAUGCUUGGGAUAGAUUAUUGCAAAUAUUAAUCUUGAACGAGGAAUUCCUAGUAAGCGCAAGUCAACAGCUUGCGUUGAUUACGUCCCUGCCCUUUGUACACACCGCCCGUCGCUACUACUGAUUGGAUGUUUAAGCGAGGUUCUCGAACUGCCAGCGACUUAGCUUCGGUGAGGUCGCAGUGUGGGAAGUGAACCUAGCUUUGGUGUCUAGAGGAAGUAAAAGUCGUAACA